This 927-nucleotide ribosomal RNA is filed under the name uncultured fungus. Its description in RNAcentral is "eukaryotic LSU rRNA". The stretch from base 571 to 927 matches the Rfam family "Eukaryotic large subunit ribosomal RNA", at positions 1 to 349 of the family's 3401-position model. The record is from RNAcentral. Lineage: Eukaryota; Fungi.
GUAUAAAACCAUUGUGAACUGUCAAAAUUCUUGUUUUUAACAAUUGAAACCCCUUUUGAUAAAUUGAACUAACGUUUUCAUACUCCAAUAAAACGGAGAUGAAAUUCAUUACGAAACAAAAGAACAACUCUUAGCAACGGAUAUCUUGGUUCUCGUAACGAUGAAGAACGCAGCGAAAUGCGAUACGUAAUGCGAAUUGCAGAAUUCAGUGAAUCAUCAAAUCUUUGAACGCAAAUUGCGCUUUCUGGAUAGGCCAGGGAGCAUGCCUCUUUGAGCAUCGUUUCUACCAAAACUCGUUAGCUUUAUUGCGAUUCGUCCAAUAGAGCGAGCGGAUAAUGCGCUUCUCGCUGGAAACAGUGAGUGGCGUUAAGAAGCGUGAGUUCUCUUUAACUCUCUAGUGUUCGACCGAAAGGGCGCCCUCUCAUCUUUGAGGAUAUCACUAGCGACGUAGAUAAUUAACUUUUUCAACGUUGCUGAUGAAAUCGGAUUCGAUAAGUGUUUGGCUAAGACAUUAGAACCAAAGAUUACUCGUUGAAAAUUUUUAUCGCAAGAUAAAACAAUUUUUGAAUUAGAUCUCAAGUGAAGCAAGAUUACCCGCUGAACUUAAGCAUAUUAUUAAGCGGAGGAAAAGAAACUAACAAGGAUGCCCUCAGUAACGGCGAGUGAAGCGGGCAAAGCUCAACCUGAAAAUCGGAUUCCUUAGCGGGAUUUCGAAUUGUGGGCUACAGACGCGUGAUCAGUGUGUGACCCAGGUAUAAAUCUCUUUGAAACGAGGUAUCAUAGAGGGUGAGAAUCCCGUCUGUGACUUGGAGUUCGCCGCGUACGAUCCGUGUUCGCAGAGUCGCGUUGUUUGGGAUUGCAGCGCUAAAUGGGUGGUAAAUUUCAUCUAAAGCUAAAUAUCGACGAGAGACCGAAUAGCGAACAAGU